AAGUCGUAACAAGGUUUCCGUAGGUGAACCUGCGGAAGGAUCAUUAAAAGAGACAGGACCCUUCGGGGUCCGACCUCCCACCCUCUGUUGUUAUAACUACCUCGUUGCUUUGGCGGGACCGCGAAGGUCCUCCCGAGCGCGCCAGUCUCCGGACAGGCGAGCGCCCGCCAGAGUCCAACCAAACUCUUGUUUUUAAACCAGUCGUCUGAGUAUAAAAUUUUAAUUAAAUUAAAACUUUCAACAACGGAUCUCUUGGUUCUC
RNAcentral lists this unclassified non-coding RNA (261 nucleotides) under air metagenome. Its description in RNAcentral is "partial contains small subunit ribosomal RNA, internal transcribed spacer 1, and 5.8S ribosomal RNA". The stretch from base 1 to 46 matches the Rfam family "Eukaryotic small subunit ribosomal RNA", at positions 1786 to 1831 of the family's 1831-position model. The record is from RNAcentral.